RNAcentral lists this ribosomal RNA (591 nucleotides) under uncultured bacterium. Its description in RNAcentral is "bacterial SSU rRNA". It matches the Rfam family "Bacterial small subunit ribosomal RNA", at positions 338 to 944 of the family's 1533-position model. The record is from RNAcentral.
CCUACGGGAGGCAGCAGUAGGGGAAUCUUGCGCAAUGGGCGAAAGCCUGACGCAGCCAUGCCGCGUGAAUGAUGAAGGUCUUAGGAUUGUAAAAUUCUUUCACCGGGGAAGAUAAUGACGGUACCCGGAGAAGAAGCCCCGGCUAACUUCGUGCCAGCAGCCGCGGUAAUACGAAGGGGGGCUAGCGUUGCUCGGAAUUACUGGGCGUAAGGGGGCGCGUAGGCGGAUAGUUUAGUCAGAGGUGAAAGCCCAGGGCUCAACCUUGGAACUGCCUUUGAUACUGGCUAUCUUGAGUUCGGGAGAGGUGAGUGGAAUGCCGAGUGUAGAGGUGAAAUUCGUAGAUAUUCGGCGGAACACCAGUGGCGAAGGCGACUCACUGGCCCGAUACUGACGCUGAGGCGCGAAAGCGUGGGGAGCAAACAGGAUUAGAUACCCUGGUAGUCCACGCUGUAAACGAUGAGUGCUAGUUGUCGGCAUGCAUGCAUGUCGGUGACGCAGCUAACGCAUUAAGCACUCCGCCUGGGGAGUACGGUCGCAAGNUUAAAACUCAAAGAGUAGUGACGUGAGAGAGCGACGAGACACAGGAGGAGG